ACGUAGGGGGCGAGCGUUAUCCGGAUUCAUUGGGCGUAAAGCGCGCGCAGGCGGCGCACCAGGCGGGAUCUCGAAACCGGGGGCUCAACCUCCGGGCGGAUCCCGAACCGGUGUGCUCGAGUGCGGUAGAGGAAGUCGGAAUUCCCGGUGUAGCGGUGAAAUGCGCAGAUAUCGGGAAGAACACCGAUGGCGAAGGCAGACUUCUGGGCCGACACUGACGCUCAGGCGCGAAAGCUGGGGGAGCGAACAG
RNAcentral lists this ribosomal RNA (250 nucleotides) under uncultured bacterium. Its description in RNAcentral is "partial 16S ribosomal RNA". It matches the Rfam family "Bacterial small subunit ribosomal RNA", at positions 525 to 775 of the family's 1533-position model. The record is from RNAcentral.